GAUGAACGCUGGCGGCGUGCCUAACACAUGCAAGUCGAACGAAGCACCUUACCUGAUUCUUCGGUUGCAAGUUUGGUGACUGAGUGGCGGACGGGUGAGUAACGCGUGGGUAACCUGCCCUGUACAGGGGGAUAACAGCUGGAAACGGCUGCUAAUACCGCAUACGCGCACGAGGAGACAUCUCCUCGUGUGACAUACUCCGGUGGGACAGGAUGGGCCCGCGUCUGCUUAGCUGGUUGGCAGGGUAAUGGCCUAUCAAGGCAACGAUCAGUAGCCGGGAAGUGAGGCUGAGCCGCGACACUGGAACUAGGACACAGUCGGGAAUCCUACGGGAGGCAGCAGUGGGGAAUGUUGCAAAGUGGGGGGAGCGCUGAUGCUGCAACGCCGGGUGAGUGAAGAAAUAAGUCAGUAUGUAAAGCGCAAGUAGCAAGGAAGGUAAUGACGGUACCUAACUAGGAAGCUCCGGCUAACUACGUG
Molecule: ribosomal RNA, 477 nt
Filed under: uncultured bacterium
Lineage: Bacteria
Description: partial 16S ribosomal RNA
Rfam family: Bacterial small subunit ribosomal RNA
Source: RNAcentral